RNAcentral lists this ribosomal RNA (161 nucleotides) under uncultured bacterium. RNAcentral describes it as "partial 16S ribosomal RNA". It matches the Rfam family "Bacterial small subunit ribosomal RNA", at positions 191 to 354 of the family's 1533-position model. The record is from RNAcentral.
UCGCCGGUGUGAAAAACUCCGGUGGUAUGGGAUGGACCCGCGUCUGAUUAGCCAGUUGGCAGGGUAACGGCCUACCAAAGCGACGAUCAGUAGCCGGCCUGAGAGGGUGGACGGCCACAUUGGGACUGAGACACGGCCCAAACUCCUACGGGAGGCAGCAG